CGCCUGUUUAUCAAAAACAUCGCCUCUUGCUAAACCAAAAGUAUAAGAGGUCCCGCCUGCCCUGUGACUAUAUGUUUAACGGCCGCGGUAUUUUGACCGUGCGAAGGUAGCGCAAUCACUUGUCUUUUAAAUGGAGACCUGUAUGAAUGGCAUAACGAGGGCUUGACUGUCUCCUCUUUCAAGUCAAUGAAAUUGAUCUCCCCGUGAAGAAGCGGGGAUAGGCACAUAAGACGAGAAGACCCUAUGGAGCUUUAGACACCAAGGCAGAUUAUAGUCCAUAAUCCUAAUUUAAAAGGGUAUAAAUUGAUUAAGUCCUGUCCCUAUGUCUUUGGUUGGGGCGACCGCGGAGAAACAAAAAACCCCCGCACGGACCGAACGAAUAUUAACGUUUACAACUAAGAGCUACAGCUCUAACUAACAGAACUUCUGACCAAUCAGAUCCGGCAAUGCCGAUCAAUGAACCGAGUUACCCUAGGGAUAACAGCGCAAUCCCCUCUUAGAGUCCAUAUCGACGAGGGGGUUUACGACCUCGAUGUUGGAUCAGGACAUCCUAAUGGUGCAGCCGCUAUUAAGGGUUCGUUUGUUCAACGAUUAAAGUCCUACGUGAUCUGAGUUCAGACCGG
RNAcentral lists this ribosomal RNA (623 nucleotides) under Cephalopholis sonnerati (tomato hind). RNAcentral describes it as "partial 16S ribosomal RNA". It matches the Rfam family "Bacterial large subunit ribosomal RNA", at positions 1797 to 2619 of the family's 2925-position model. The record is from RNAcentral. Lineage: Eukaryota; Metazoa; Chordata; Actinopteri; Perciformes; Serranidae.